UCGAGAAUUUUUCACAAUGGGGGCAACCCUGAUGGAGCGACGCCGCGUGGAGGAUGAAGGUCUUCGGAUUGUAAACUCCUGUCAUGCGAGAACAAGAAAGUGAUAGUAUCGCAAGAGGAAGAGACGGCUAACUCUGUGCCAGCAGCCGCGGUAAUACAGAGGUCUCAAGCGUUGUUCGGAUUCAUUGGGCGUAAAGGGUGCGUAGGCGGCGUGGUAAGUUGAGUGUGAAAUCCUAGGGCUUAACCUUAGAACUGCACUCAAUACUGCCAUGCUUGAGGAAUGUAGAGGAGAGUGGAAUUCACGGUGUAGCAGUGAAAUGCGUAGAUAUCGUGAGGAAGACCAGUUGCGAAGGCGACUCUCUGGGCAUCUCCUGACGCUGAGGCACGAAGGCUAGGGGAGC
Molecule: ribosomal RNA, 400 nt
Filed under: uncultured bacterium
Lineage: Bacteria
Description: bacterial SSU rRNA
Rfam family: Bacterial small subunit ribosomal RNA
Source: RNAcentral